Rhinolophus ferrumequinum (greater horseshoe bat) is the source of this 102-nucleotide small nuclear RNA. Lineage: Eukaryota; Metazoa; Chordata; Mammalia; Chiroptera; Rhinolophidae. The record is from Ensembl.
AUGCUCGCUUCAGCAGCACAUACCCUAAAAUUAGAACGAUACAGAGAAUAUUAGCAUGACCCCUAUGCUUGUGUUAGAAUUUGUGAUGCGUUCCAUAUUUUU